RNAcentral lists this ribosomal RNA (440 nucleotides) under uncultured bacterium. Its description in RNAcentral is "partial 16S ribosomal RNA". It matches the Rfam family "Bacterial small subunit ribosomal RNA", at positions 338 to 795 of the family's 1533-position model. The record is from RNAcentral.
CCUACGGGAGGCAGCAGUAGGGAAUAUUGCUCAAUGGGGGAAACCCUGAAGCAGCAACGCCGCGUGGAGGAUGACGGUUUUCGGAUUGUAAACUCCUUUUGUUAGAGAAGAUAAUGACGGUAUCUAACGAAUAAGCACCGGCUAACUCCGUGCCAGCAGCCGCGGUAAUACGGAGGGUGCGAGCGUUACUCGGAAUCACUGGGCGUAAGGCGCGCGUAGGCGGGAUAGCAAGUCAGAUGUGAAAUCAUAUGGCUUAACCAUAGAACUGCAUUUGAAACUGUUAUUCUAGAGUAUAGGAGAGGUAGGUGGAAUUCUUGGUGUAGCGGUAAAAUCCGUAGAGAUCAAGAGGAAUACUCAUUGCGAAGGCGACCUGCUAAAACAUCACUGACACUGAUGCGCGAAAGCGUGGGGAUCAAACAGGAUUAGAUACCCCUGUAGUC